Molecule: ribosomal RNA, 464 nt
Filed under: uncultured Thiomonas sp.
Lineage: Bacteria; Pseudomonadati; Pseudomonadota; Betaproteobacteria; Burkholderiales
Description: bacterial SSU rRNA
Rfam family: Bacterial small subunit ribosomal RNA
Source: RNAcentral
UGUAGCACGGCAGCGCGGGGCAACCUGGCGGCGAGUGGCGAACGGGUGAGUAAUACAUCGGAACGUGCCCUGUGAUGGGGGAUAACUACGCGAAAGCGUAGCUAAUACCGCAUACGACCCAAGGGUGAAAGUGGGGGAUCGCAAGACCUCACGUCAUAGGAGCGGCCGAUGGCGGAUUAGCUAGUUGGUGAGGUAAAGGCUUACCAAGGCGACGAUCCGUAGCUGGUCUGAGAGGACGACCAGCCACACUGGGACUGAGACACGGCCCAGACUCCUACGGGAGGCAGCAGUGGGGAAUCUUGGACAAUGGGGGCAACCCUGAUCCAGCAAUGCCGCGUGUGGGAUGAAGGCCUUCGGGUUGUAAACCACUUUUGGCGGGGGCGAAAUAUCGAGUGCUAAUACCAUUCGGUGAUGACGGUACCCGCAGAAUAAGCACCGGCUAACUACGUGCCAGCAGCCCGGGG